Molecule: ribosomal RNA, 205 nt
Filed under: uncultured bacterium
Lineage: Bacteria
Description: partial 16S ribosomal RNA
Rfam family: Bacterial small subunit ribosomal RNA
Source: RNAcentral
AGUCGUGUGUUGCAGGCGGGGUGUUCUCUUCGGAGAGUGUCUAUUGCUGGCGGGGCGGACUUCUGGUUAGGACUGAGUGGUGUGGUGGCUUUCGGAGGGGCUUGCGGCCUAUCAGGUAGUUGGUGGGGUAACGGCCUACCAAGCCUUCGACGGGUAGCUGGUCUGAGAGGAUGGUCAGCCGGACUGGGACUGAGAUACGGCCCAG